This 433-nucleotide ribosomal RNA is filed under the name uncultured bacterium. RNAcentral describes it as "partial 16S ribosomal RNA". It matches the Rfam family "Bacterial small subunit ribosomal RNA", at positions 29 to 507 of the family's 1533-position model. The record is from RNAcentral.
AACGAACGCUGGCGGCAUGCCUAACACAUGCAAGUCGAACGAGACCUUCGGGUCUAGUGGCGCACGGGUGCGUAACGCGUGGGAACCUGCCCUUAGGUUCGGAAUAACUCCCCGAAAGGGGUGCUAAUACCGGAUAAUGUCUUCGGACCAAAGAUUUAUCGCCUUUGGAUGUGCCCGAGUUGGAUUAGCUUGUUGGUAGGGUAAAAGCCUACCAAGGCGACGAUCCAUAGCUGGUCUGAGAGGAUGAUCAGCCACACUGGGACUGAGACACGGCCCAGAAUCCUACGGGAGGCAGCAGUGGGGAAUAUUGGACAAUGGGCGAAAGGCUGAUCCAGCAAUGCCGCGUGAGUGAUGAAGGCCUUAGGGUUGUAAAGCUCUUUUAACCGGGAUGAUAAUGACAGUACCGGGAGAAUAAGCUCCGGCUAACUCCGUG